Molecule: ribosomal RNA, 510 nt
Filed under: bacterium enrichment culture clone ALO1_GLFRUDD03GLOX8
Lineage: Bacteria
Description: bacterial SSU rRNA
Rfam family: Bacterial small subunit ribosomal RNA
Source: RNAcentral
GAGUUUGAUCUUGGCUCAGAUUGAACGCUGGCGGCAGGCCUAACACAUGCAAGUCGAGCGGAUGACGGGAGCUUGCUCCUUGAUUCAGCGGCGGACGGGUGAGUAAUGCCUAGGAAUCUGCCUGGUAGUGGGGGACAACGUUUCGAAAGGAACGCUAAUACCGCAUACGUCCUACGGGAGAAAGCAGGGGACCUUCGGGCCUUGCGCUAUCAGAUGAGCCUAGGUCGGAUUAGCUAGUUGGUGGGGUAAUGGCUCACCAAGGCGACGAUCAGUAACUGGUCUGAGAGGAUGAUCAGUCACACUGGAACUGAGACACGGUCCAGACUCCUACGGGAGGCAGCAGUGGGGAAUAUUGGACAAUGGGCGAAAGCCUGAUCCAGCCAUGCCGCGUGUGUGAAGAAGGUCUUCGGAUUGUAAAGCACUUUAAGUUGGGAGGAAGGGCAGUAAGUUAAUACCUUGCUGUUUUGACGUUACCGACAGAAUAAGCACCGGCUAACUCUGUGCCAGCAC